CAGGGAUUGCCCUAGUAACGGCGAGUGAACAGGCAAGAGCUCAGAUUUGAAAGGCACUUUUGUGCCGUUGUAUUCUGAAGUUAGGGUCCUGAGAAACGAUGCUUAAGUCUUCUGGAAAGGAGCGCCAUGGAGGGUGAUAGCCCCGUCUAGCAUUGACCUCAUAUAGGAUCUUAACAUGGAGUCGAGUUGUUUGGGAAUGCAGCUCAAAUGGGUGGUAUGCUCCAUCUAAAGCUAAAUAUCUGCGAGAGACCGAUAGUAAACAAGUACUGUGAGGGAAAGAUGAAAAGAACUUUGAAAAGAGAGUGAAAAAGUACGUGAAAUUGUUGAAAUGGAAGGGUAGGCCGCUAACCAUGUAGAGCCGUGUUUGGGGGGAAGAUAAAUGCUGUAGAAUGUAGCUCCUCGGAGUAUUAUAGAUGCAGUUCAUAUUCCCACCCGAGCGCGAGGAUCUCAGGUUCUACUAAAUGGUGGUCUACC
Molecule: ribosomal RNA, 474 nt
Filed under: Starmerella bacillaris
Lineage: Eukaryota; Fungi; Ascomycota; Dipodascomycetes; Dipodascales; Trichomonascaceae
Description: eukaryotic LSU rRNA
Rfam family: Eukaryotic large subunit ribosomal RNA
Source: RNAcentral